GUAGCCUAGGCAACAAAGUGACACCCUGUCUUAAAAAAGAAAAGAAAGAAAGAAAGAAAAAGAAAACUAGAAGAAAAAGGUGGCUGUUGAAGAAGACUAUAGGUUCUACAGGAGAAUGACCUUAUAUAUAAGAUAUAGACAGAUGAUCAACAGAUAGAUACAUAGAUGUAUAGAUACAGAUAUAAACACACAUGUAUAUGUUCACAUGUAAGUACAUGUGUACAGACAUAGAUGUAUGUGUUUGUGCAUGUGCCUAAUGAGGAAGACAGCACCAUAUUGGACUCUGGGAAAAGAACCAGUGGAGAGGAUGUGACUGUCGGAUGGAAGACUCUGAGAAAGUGGGACAAGAUGGGACAAUCACCUGGCUGACGGAGUAGGGCCGUCUUUGGCAGGAAUAGGUCUUCCAUUGUUAUAAAAUGUGAGCAAAAGUGGGUGAGUACAGCUAUAAGCAAAUUUGUAGAUUUUGGGGGAUUAAAAGUUGAGAGAGUUUUUAUUGUAUUUUCUCCAGGGUUCGAGCAGGAAGCUCACAAUGUGCUCAAAUUGCUUAAACACAGGACAUUGGAAACUACAAAUUAUGGUGCAGUGCCCAGAGACAGUGACAGCAAGACCUGAAGGAUGAGGGGAAAGAGAAAUUUCUAGAAUUGGGGGGGGAGGUAAAAUGGGGAGAGAAAGAGAGAAAGUGAGAGAGAGUAGGGGAGAGAGAGGGAGAGAGGAAUGAGGGACAGAGGGAGGGUGGGGAGCGGAGAGAAAGAAAGGUGGGAAAGAGCUGCCUGGCAGAAGCUGUGGGCGGUGGAAGUGAUCAGUCCGUGGCGUGGGGGACCAAGGAAAUUAACAUGUCAACCUCCUUCCCUCUAAUCUGCCCAGUUCUGCCCACCGGCCAGAGGGAAGGGAGCUCAGAGCAGAACGAGAAGUGGUGGAAGGUGAGUCACAAGGUGCGUGCAGAUGACACUCAGCACAGUUGGGGAUCAUGAGUUAAUUAUCAUCGCAGACUAAAUCGUGAGAUUUCCACCACAGCAUAUGCUGCUCAAGGGAUCGCACUGAGAAAGGAGAUGUUCGCGUUUAUUUCCAGCUGCUCUGGCGUGGCGGAGGGAACAAGGACGAGAUGACAGGCUGCAGAGUGCAUGUCCCUGCUUCCUGAUAUCCGUGUCGUACCCAAUAAAGAGUCUCCAGGCAAA
This is a long non-coding RNA of Lemur catta (Ring-tailed lemur), 1175 nucleotides long. RefSeq lists it as uncharacterized. The record is from RefSeq and is a predicted model, not a curated record. The transcript is spliced from 2 exons. Lineage: Eukaryota; Metazoa; Chordata; Mammalia; Primates; Lemuridae.